GUCCAAGAAACUCAAUUUAGAGUAACAUUUUGAAAAAAUGAAAGCUACAGGUUCAAAUCCUGUCUAGGACA
RNAcentral lists this transfer RNA (71 nucleotides) under Caulophacus iocasicus. RNAcentral describes it as "tRNA-Phe". It matches the Rfam family "tRNA". From Rfam's summary of the family: Transfer RNA (tRNA) molecules are approximately 80 nucleotides in length. Their secondary structure includes four short double-helical elements and three loops (D, anti-codon, and T loops). Further hydrogen bonds mediate the characteristic L-shaped molecular structure. tRNAs have two regions of fundamental functional importance: the anti-codon, which is responsible for specific mRNA codon recognition, and the 3' end, to which the tRNAs corresponding amino acid is attached (by aminoacyl-tRNA synthetases). tRNAs cope with the degeneracy of the genetic code in two manners: having more than one tRNA (with a specific anti-codon) for a particular amino acid; and 'wobble' base-pairing, i.e. permitting non-standard base-pairing at the 3rd anti-codon position. The record is from RNAcentral. Lineage: Eukaryota; Metazoa; Porifera; Hexactinellida; Lyssacinosida; Rossellidae.